CGGUAUCCUAACCGUGCGAAGGUAGCGCAAUCAAUUGUCCCAUAAAUCGAGACACGUAUGAAUGGCUAAACGAGGUCCCAACUGUCUCUUACAGAUAAUCAGUGAAAUUGAUCUUCCCGUGCAAAAGCAGGAAUCACAUCAUAAGACAAGAAGACCCUGUGGAACUUCAAAAUCAACAGCCACUCCCACAUACUACUCUCCCUACACAUGGCUCACUCUCCGGGACUCUACUGGCCUGUAUUUUUUGGUUGGGGCGACCUUGGAGAAAAAUAGAUCCUCCAAAAAUUAGACCACAUCUCUAUACUAAGAUCAACCCAUCUACGUGCUAACAGCAACCAGACCCAAUACCAUUGAUCAAUGAACCUAGCUACCCCAGGGAUAACAGCGCA
RNAcentral lists this ribosomal RNA (389 nucleotides) under Sayornis phoebe (Eastern phoebe). Its description in RNAcentral is "partial 16S ribosomal RNA". It matches the Rfam family "Bacterial large subunit ribosomal RNA", at positions 1934 to 2484 of the family's 2925-position model. Lineage: Eukaryota; Metazoa; Chordata; Aves; Passeriformes; Tyrannidae. The record is from RNAcentral.